Molecule: non-coding RNA, 74 nt
Organism: Amanita rubescens
Lineage: Eukaryota; Fungi; Basidiomycota; Agaricomycetes; Agaricales; Amanitaceae
Source: the annotation of a GenBank genome assembly
GGCCGAAUAGCUCAGUUGGUUAGAGCGUCGUGCUAAUAACGCGAAGGUCUUGGGUUCGACCCCCACUUUGGCCA